UGCAAGCAAGUGAAAACUGUUCUGUUCCA
RNAcentral lists this non-coding RNA (29 nucleotides) under Mus musculus (house mouse). Lineage: Eukaryota; Metazoa; Chordata; Mammalia; Rodentia; Muridae. The record is from RNAcentral.